Molecule: ribosomal RNA, 368 nt
Filed under: uncultured organism
Description: bacterial SSU rRNA
Rfam family: Bacterial small subunit ribosomal RNA
Source: RNAcentral
CGAAGGAUCCUAGCGUUGUCCGGAUUUACUGGGUUUAAAGGGUGCGUAGGCGGAUUUUUAAGUCAGUGGUGAAAGCCGGCAGCUUAACUGUCGAAUUGCCAUUGAAACUGAAAGUCUCGAGUACGGUUGAGGUGGCUGGAAUGUAUCAUGUAGCGGUGAAAUGCUUAGAUAUGAUACAGAACACCAAUUGCGAAGGCAAGUCACUAAACCGUAACUGACGCUGAGGCACGAAAGCGUGGGGAGCAAACAGGAUUAGAUACCCUGGUAGUCCACGCCCUAAACGUUGAUAACUCGCUGUUGGCGAUACACUGUCAGCGGCUAAGCGAAAGCGGUAAGUUAUCCACCUGGGGAGUACGGCCGCAAGGUUG